GGCCCUGUGGCGAAAAGGUACCGCGUUGCCCUCCGAAGGCAGAGAUUGUGGGUUCGAUCCCCAUCAGGGUCG
This 72-nucleotide transfer RNA is filed under the name Pseudogymnoascus destructans 20631-21. RNAcentral's name for it is "tRNA-Arg (CCG) (tRNA-Arg-CCG-1-1)". It matches the Rfam family "tRNA". Rfam says of the family: Transfer RNA (tRNA) molecules are approximately 80 nucleotides in length. Their secondary structure includes four short double-helical elements and three loops (D, anti-codon, and T loops). The record is from RNAcentral. Lineage: Eukaryota; Fungi; Ascomycota; Leotiomycetes; Thelebolales; Thelebolaceae.